Molecule: transfer RNA, 68 nt
Filed under: Leptocimbex yanniae
Lineage: Eukaryota; Metazoa; Arthropoda; Insecta; Hymenoptera; Cimbicidae
Description: tRNA-Ile
Source: RNAcentral
AAUGAAGUAUCUGAAUAAAAAAAAAUUAUUUUGAUAGAAUAAAAAAUGUAAUUAAUUUACCUUCAUUA